Molecule: ribosomal RNA, 253 nt
Filed under: uncultured bacterium
Lineage: Bacteria
Description: partial 16S ribosomal RNA
Rfam family: Bacterial small subunit ribosomal RNA
Source: RNAcentral
UACGGGGGGGGCAAGCGUUGUUCGGAAUUACUGGGCGUAAAGCGCGCGUAGGCGGCUUUGCAAGUCGGGUGUGAAAUCCCCAGGCUUAACCUGGGAACUGCAUUCGGGACUGCAUUGCUAGAGUAUGGGAGAGGGCAGUGGAAUUUCCGGUGUAGCGGUGAAAUGCGUAGAUAUCGGAAGGAACAUCAGUGGCGAAAGCGACUGCCUGGACCAAUACUGACGCUCAUGUGCGAAAGCGUGGGGAGCAAACAGG